This 215-nucleotide ribosomal RNA is filed under the name uncultured prokaryote. RNAcentral's name for it is "partial 16S ribosomal RNA". It matches the Rfam family "Archaeal small subunit ribosomal RNA", at positions 85 to 282 of the family's 1478-position model. The record is from RNAcentral.
ACGGCUCAGUAACACGUGCCCAACCUACCCUCGGGAGGGGGACACCCCCGGGAAACUGGGGCCAAUCCCCCAUAGGGGAAGGGCGCUGGAAGGCCCCCUCCCCGAAAGGACGGCGGCCGAUCCGCCGCCGCCCGCCCGAGGAUGGGGGCACGGCCCAUCAGGUAGUUGGCGGGCUAAAGGCCCGCCAAGCCGAAGACGGGUAGGGGCGGUGAGAG